RNAcentral lists this long non-coding RNA (549 nucleotides) under Monodelphis domestica (gray short-tailed opossum). RNAcentral's name for it is "lncRNA (ENSMODG00000034613.2)". The record is from RNAcentral. Lineage: Eukaryota; Metazoa; Chordata; Mammalia; Didelphimorphia; Didelphidae.
AGCCAUUAGUCAUGUUCUCUAUAAUACCAGCACUUCUGGGCCUGGAACGGUAGAGAUUUGAUCACAGUUUAAAGCUUGUGUGUGUGUGUGCGUGAGUGCGCGUGUGUGUAUAUGGGAAGUAGGGGCAAAUUUUAACAAAAUUCCACCUGGCUGCUUUUGAGCUUCCAAGUUUGAGAGAAGAAAAUUGGUGUUGGCAUGCUAAGACUUUCCAAUGCUAGAAAAUUAGAUCGCAAUAGUUAGAAGAAUUAUAAUCUUGGCCCUGGCAAGCCUGGAAAAAGCAUCAUGGCAAGCCUAAAGGUCUCAGCUUCCUGGAGAAAUUGGACUUCAAAAGUUCUUCCCCUUAUAAAUCUUGCAAUCCCACCUAAGGAUAGGAACACAACAGAACAACUCAUGUUGACUUUGCUUCCAUUUCUCUACCAAAAGAAACAAUCUGUUAACUCUGAAAAGUAAAACAAAACAAAACAAAACCAAAAAAAAGGAUAAUAAGCAAGCUGAUGCCUGAGGAGCAAGAUAUAAUAAAAGAAAAUGAGGUGAUAAAAAUAAUAGACA